CUGAAUUUGCAGCCAGGUGUGCCUGGAGGGGAGGAAAAGAGGCCGAUCUCUGCUUCUGAUCCGCGCAGCUGUUUCGUGACCCAUUUCCUCCCCUUGGACCCGCAGGAAGUUCCCUAUCCAAGUUGAGGGCGCGCGGCACUAUCGUAACAAGUUACACUCACUCCGCCUCAUUCAAGAUGGCCGCCGCCGCGUGCUCCUCAGAUCCCUGCAGAGGAUGUCUUGCACUUGCUGAAUGAACCGGUCAAGUCCAGUGGAUAGAGCUGGGAUGAGUGGAGCGAAGAGACACGCCUUGCAACAUACCUGAGUGCUGUGUGGAGAGUGGAAGACCCUUUCUUGACUGGGCUGAAGCUACGAGAAACACAGUGUACACCAGCUGAGACCAAUGAUGAGCCUGGAACACGCUCUCUGGCAUUGGGUCCUAAUGCUGCUUCUGAUGUUAUUAAGCUGCUGCUUGACUCUUACUUCUCUGUAUGCAGGGCAUAAAUUUCUUGCCUACAUGGGGGGCCUCCUGGGGGUUUCACUCUUUGACAAAGUUGUGUGCAGGGGUCAAGUCCUGGGGAAUAAAGUGUGGGAACUCACCCAAGAUCAACCGCCCUUCCUCCUCCCCCCCAAAAAAUAAUAUACACUCGUAUGCCUAUAUAAACAUGUACACACACACACUAACAGACACACAUACACUCACAGACACACACAUACACUCAUACACAAACACACACACUCACAGAAACACACAAAUCAUUAUUUUUUUAAAUUUAGACAUGUCCACCCAGCCUCUCUACCUGGAGAGCUGGCGUGGACCUGUCCCUGGGGUCCAGUGGGGCUUCAGUGCGGCAGGCGCCUGUCUCCCUGUCAGACGCAUCAGGGGAAACACGGGGGCAUUUGAGAGGGGCAUUUUUUGCCACCUCCUGAGAGCCUGCAGGAGCAACAGGAACGGCGUUCCUGCUGUAAAAAAAGUGCAGGAACACCGUUCCCACGCGUUCCUGCAGGACUCGAACCCUGGUUGUGUUUUACAGCCACUAAUUUUUUUCAUACUUAGAAUCUUCUCUCAGUGCAUACGCUCUGCUCGCCUAUCUGCCUCUUGUUAUUAAGGUUAGCGCAGUGUUAAUUUCAUCUUGUAUUCCAAAACAAAAGUGCUGUUUCCUAUUUACCCAUUGUUUGCUAGAAGAUAUAUUUUAUUAUUAACUUUACACUGUCUGAUAUAAUCUUGUU
Molecule: non-coding RNA, 1209 nt
Organism: Pelobates cultripes (western spadefoot toad)
Lineage: Eukaryota; Metazoa; Chordata; Amphibia; Anura; Pelobatidae
Source: the annotation of a GenBank genome assembly